GGUUGCGAUCAUACCAGCACUAAUGCACCGGAUCUAUUCAGAACUCCGCAGUUAAGCGUGCUUAGGCGAGAGUAGUACUAGGAUGGGUGACCCCCUGGGAAGUCCUCGUGUUGCAACCCC
Molecule: ribosomal RNA, 120 nt
Filed under: Helianthus annuus (common sunflower)
Lineage: Eukaryota; Viridiplantae; Streptophyta; Magnoliopsida; Asterales; Asteraceae
Source: RNAcentral